Jaculus jaculus (lesser Egyptian jerboa) is the source of this 1384-nucleotide RNA transcript. It is a transcript of the gene named adaptor related protein complex 1 subunit sigma 3, with no coding region annotated. The record is from RefSeq and is a predicted model, not a curated record. The transcript is spliced from 6 exons. NCBI's taxonomy places the organism in Eukaryota, Metazoa, Chordata, Mammalia, Rodentia, Dipodidae.
UAAGGAUAAGCAUCGAGGGCCUGAACGAGAAAGCUGGAGUUUAUUUUCGGGACCCAGGAAGGGGGCACACAGCCCAUGCAGAAGGUUCCCGGCUGCAACCUCCCAGAGAGGACUUUUCCCCACGUACAGGUGGAAGAGCCGCCCGGACCACAGAUACAUUUCAUCUUGCUCUUCAGUAGACAAGGAAAAUUGCGGCUGCAGAAGUGGUAUACCACUCUCCCUGAUAAAGAGAGGAAAAAGAUCACCCGGGAAAUCAUUCAGAUCAUUCUGGCUCGUGGUCACAGGACAAGCAGUUUUGUUGACUGGAAGGAGCUAAAACUUGUUUAUAAAAGGUAUGCUAGUUUAUAUUUUUGCUGUGCAAUAGAAAAUCAAGACAAUGAGCUCUUGACCCUAGAGAUUGUACACCGGUACGUGGAGUUGCUGGACAAAUAUUUUGGAAACGUCUGCGAGCUGGAUAUUAUCUUUAAUUUUGAAAAGGCAUACUUUAUCCUGGACGAGUUUAUCAUAGGUGGAGAAAUUCAGGAAACAUCCAAGAAAUCUGCUGUCAAAGCCAUUGAGGACUCUGACAUGCUGCAGGAGCAGGUCAAGAGUCAAGAGGAUUGCAAGACUUAUACAGUACUUUUUUAAAAUUGGUGCUAACGCCAUUCUUCCCGCUAUUUGGAAUUAAGAGGCUGAUUAAGUUACUAAGACCUUAGGCAUGAUUCCCCAGCAACUGUCUUGGCACUUUACGCUGAUUACUUACUCCCGACCAUGGAGGGACUCCGUCCUCAGACAAUGGAAGAGUACAUGAGCAAGCCUACAUUUUAACAGUUCAUCUACUUGAAAACUCCAAGGGCUACGUGUUGUGAACCUCCGAAUCAGCAACGCCUUACAUCCAAUCUCCACAGAGCCUCUGGCACCAUGCCAAAAACAACAUAAAGGGAUUCGUUAUGAACUAGAAAGAAUGCAAGUUGUUUAGGACGAGAUAUUUAUAAUUUCUACAUGCCUGUAUUACACUGCAUCUGGGUACUUUUUGUGGGUUCAGUUGCUUGGAAUAAUGGCUGCAUAACUAACAGACUGAUCAGUUGUUUGCAGUAUUUUAAUUCCUUAGACCUUUAAGCUAAUUAAAAAAAUUAUUUGCAAUUUUUUUUUUUUUGUUGUUGCCAUUUGAUAUACUUACAGGCUGGAAACUGCUUUGUGAUAACCAACAAUUUUGAAUGUGAAGUAUAUCUUAUAUCACUAAUGCCUUUCCUAAAUGUUCAGUUUUUAAAGAUGUAAAUGAAUUCAAAUUUAUGUAACAAGUUCAGAGUUCAUACAUGAUGCUAGGUAUUUUAAUAUCCUUAAUAGUACUGUAAUUUCAGACUAGAUACAAUGUAUCUGUCUUAUUGUCCUGAAUUUUCUUUUU